Molecule: long non-coding RNA, 382 nt
Filed under: Linum usitatissimum (flax)
Lineage: Eukaryota; Viridiplantae; Streptophyta; Magnoliopsida; Malpighiales; Linaceae
Description: long non-coding RNA (LUSI_LNC004203)
Source: RNAcentral
AUUAUUCUGAACAUCCAAAUGAGCUAAUUCUCUUUCAAUGCAACUGCAGUAGAGCUGUAUGAGUAGCAACAAUGUUCUGAAUUAUAAUGGUUGGCUAUUCUUGGACAAGGAUAUGAAUAUAGGGUGUCUCUCAUGUAGCGAAUGUGUACUUGAAAAUGACAUUCAUGCCGAGAUUCUUCAACUAUAAAUGACAUUGUUGUUCAGCCUUUAUCUCUACUGGAUCAUGGCUAUUUGUCACAUAUGUACUUGGCCAAACAUGAAGGAAGCAGAUUAUGGGGAGAAGUUAACAGUGGAUUUAUUGGAGUGGGCAAUUACUCACCACUUGGGAACUUUGAUUGGAAUUGGGUUCUUUAAAGGAAUUGGAAGUUUAGGUAGAUUUGAU